This 502-nucleotide ribosomal RNA is filed under the name uncultured bacterium. RNAcentral's name for it is "bacterial SSU rRNA". It matches the Rfam family "Bacterial small subunit ribosomal RNA", at positions 28 to 522 of the family's 1533-position model. The record is from RNAcentral.
GACGAACGCUGGCGGCGUGCUUAACACAUGCAAGUCGAACGAGAGGAGAAGGAAGCUUGCUUCUUUCAAAUCUAGUGGCAAACGGGUGAGUAACACGUAAACAACCUGCCUUCAGGAUGGGGACAACAGACGGAAACGACUGCUAAUACCGAAUACGUUCCUUAGGUCGCAUGACUUUAGGAAGAAAGGGUGGCCUCUACUUGUAAGCUAUCGCCUGAAGAGGGGUUUGCGUCUGAUUAGCCAGUUGGCGGGGUAACGGCCCACCAAAGCGACGAUCAGUAGCCGACCUGAGAGGGUGACCGGCCACAUUGGGACUGAGACACGGCCCAAACUCCUACGGGAGGCAGCAGUGGGGAAUAUUGCACAAUGGGGGAAACCCUGAUGCAGCGACGCCGCGUGAGCGAAGAAGUAUUUCGGUAUGUAAAGCUCUAUCAGCAGGGAAGAAGAAAUGACGGUACCUGACUAAGAAGCCCCGGNUAACUACGUGCCAGCAGCCGCGGGU